AGCAACGCGAAGAACCUUACCAGGUCUUGACAUCCUUUGACCAUCCUAGAGAUAGGACUUUCCCUUCGGGGACAAAGUGACAGGUGGUGCAUGGUUGUCGUCAGCUCGUGUCGUGAGAUGUUGGGUUAAGUCCCGCAACGAGCGCAACCCUUAUUGUUAGUUGCCAUCAUUCAGUUGGGCACUCUAGCGAGACUGCCGCAGACAAUGCGGAGGAAGGUGGGGAUGACGUCAAAUCAUCAUGCCCCUUAUGACCUGGGCUACACACGUGCUACAAUGGAGAGUACAACGAGUCGCAAAGCCGCGAGGCUAAGCCAAUCUCUUAAAGCUCUUCUCAGUUCGGAUUGUAGGCUGCAACUCGCCUACAUGAA
RNAcentral lists this ribosomal RNA (368 nucleotides) under Enterococcus cecorum. Its description in RNAcentral is "bacterial SSU rRNA". It matches the Rfam family "Bacterial small subunit ribosomal RNA", at positions 955 to 1324 of the family's 1533-position model. Lineage: Bacteria; Bacillati; Bacillota; Bacilli; Lactobacillales; Enterococcaceae. The record is from RNAcentral.